Long non-coding RNA from Daphnia magna, 1891 nucleotides. RefSeq lists it as uncharacterized. The transcript is spliced from 4 exons. The record is from RefSeq and is a predicted model, not a curated record. Lineage: Eukaryota; Metazoa; Arthropoda; Branchiopoda; Diplostraca; Daphniidae.
UUAAUUUUUUUACUCAACUGCGUUUGGUGUGAACUUAGCCUACCUCAUAUGUUACUUCGGGCCUGGUAAUAUGGCUUUGCUUUAACUUCCCCUUUUAUUGCAAUGCGUUUGUCUAACAUUCUGCGUCAAUAUCGAAUGUGACUUAAAUUAUAGUUUUAUUUUGUACAGCAAAAAAUCUAGAUAUUAGCCAUUACUUAAAAAAAAGUCCAUCCAUUCUGAACUGGCAGAAAUUUUGACAUUUACUGAAAUAACUUGGAUGUCGAAUUUUUUCAUACAGCAAAUAUGGCAGUCAAGAAUAGAUGGACUAACAGGGCUUUUCUAAGGAAAUACAAAGGAUCACAAAGAAGAGAUAGCAUUUCUAAUUGGUUUCGAUUCCUUCCACGUUUAUUGUUAACGGUGUUCUUGAUAUUCUAUUAUAAGUCGAGUGUCUCGCCCCACCUGUCUUCUUGCGGACCAAAAAUUUAGCAAUGAAACGAUUCCAGGUGAAAUCAAAUUCAAACAUUUUAAUUUAAUAAUUUAAAAUGUUUGAAUUAAUAGAAAAAAUAUUACUAUCUGUGUUGUCUUGGGAGAUGAAAUGGUACUCUAUAUUUGAAUCGUACAGUUAAACUUUGUAGCAGCGAAUGCUGACAUUUAUCUCCACAAGAGGCGCUGAAAACAGUCGCACAAUAGUCAGAGUUGAAAAUUGUUGCACGCUAGGUGCCCGCAGUAUCGAGAAGUUCAAGGAAGUGAAUUCAAUUUACUCAAUCUUUCCUAUCUUUGUAAUCUGCCUUGUUGUCUCAAUCCUCUCGAAAAAAUUUUAUUUUAGAAACUUCACUAAGGCUUCAGGAAGUUGGACGAAAGAAAAUGUAAAAAAAAAAAAAAAGAAAAUUUACAGCAAACACUAGUGCCCCCUGGAUUCUGGGGGGCAAUAGCAUUCUUGGGCGCUAGAGGCCCCAAGAAUUCUGGGGAGCAAUACUGCAAUAGCUUUUACCUUAUCGGGAAUUCGGGACCUAAGUUAUUGCAUUGAAUUGAAUCAGACCCCGAACACAUGUCAGAGCUCAGUUAUUCUAAAGGUAACUGUAAAUUUUGUAUGCUUAUCAUGUCACCCUUUUCAAAUUGUGUUAGUUCAAUUUCAAUGGUUUCAACUUGCUGCUGGACAGAAGCUUGAAAGCUGUAGACCAUGGAAUGCUGAUCUGUUGUCUGCAGUUAAUAAUCCAUCUGACCAGGCUUAAAAUAGGAAAAAUCAUGUAAAGGGAAAAACCAAUAUGAAGAACUUAAGAAAGAAAAUAUGCUAGAAACUCCUGUAAAAGUAUUCUUGAUGAAAAAUCGGAAAUUCCUGGAGAUCAACAUCUGUGGAUAAAUUUAGGUAAUCAAGUUAUUGAAAAAUUAUCUAAGAAGAAGCAAUCAAUCAAGGAUGCAAGUUGAAUGAUAAACCAUAGUUUGUUGCAUUAAUAUAAAAUUAGGAUGGAAUGUGAACAAGAAAGACAUUUAAAAUGUUUGCAGCAGAUGUUUGUGGUCAGGUUACAAAGUUUAUUUACCCAUUGUUUAAACACUGUCAUUUUGCUGUUGAUUACCACACAUGUAUUAUUCAUCACUGUAGAUGCUGACAUAUCUAUCUACUACAUCAACUAGCUGCUUUGUAUGGAAGGAGAUGAAAAAUGUUCUGUUACGAAGGCGUUGCGACCUAAAAUGCUUUUUUUUGCAUUUUGUUAAUCUGAACGUAAAUUCGAAUUUUGGCAAAAUUAAGUUUAUUAAUUUAACAGAAAAAUUUUUUCUAUCUUGGGGGGUUAAAGUGCACAUCUGGGGUAUCUUCUUUUCUGUGGCCACUUUUCCCCUUGACCGGUCGAUCUCCCUGGCGGAUUAAUUCAGUGCGAUAUGUGUGUAUUGUUCCAAUAACAAAUUAAAAACUUGA